UGAUUAUAAAGCUGAUGACUAAGAUCCCUG
This 30-nucleotide non-coding RNA is filed under the name Mus musculus (house mouse). The record is from RNAcentral. Lineage: Eukaryota; Metazoa; Chordata; Mammalia; Rodentia; Muridae.